Triticum dicoccoides is the source of this 333-nucleotide long non-coding RNA. RefSeq lists it as uncharacterized. The transcript has 3 exons. The record is from RefSeq and is a predicted model, not a curated record. Lineage: Eukaryota; Viridiplantae; Streptophyta; Magnoliopsida; Poales; Poaceae.
UAGCAACGCACAGGCGUUCUCCUCUCGAUUCUCUGUUGUGCGACGUCGCAACUUCUUCUCCAACUCUGCGGGUGUAGGUUGAUCGAGGGUCGAAUAAUGGACGUAACACAGCUGCUAGAGAAGAGAUUAUAAUAUGGAAAAUAGCAGAUGAGGAGGAAGCUGAAGUUGGUAGAUCAAUUGAGCAAGAGUUCCAGACCCAGUCCCUGUAGUAGAGCAACCGCAGCCUCAAACUUCAGAGAAGAUGGGCAUGAAUGGAUGUUUUGGUUGCAGGUUACACCAAGAACAAGUGCCUCAGAUCAUUCAUUUUUCAGGCAGCGGAAGGAUCACUCCCCC